AGUGUGUGUGGCAGCGCUGCUCUACAGCGCCCCUGUAGUCUGGCCGCGGAACUGCGCCUCUACACACACUGACGCGAUACACACACUUUACCUGCUGCUCAUGCGCGAAUCACCGGACCACACCACCGUUAAUUACGGUUAAUCAAUCUUCAUCGACGGAUUCAUCAAUCAGUACAGAGAACGGAGUGAGGUUUGUGAUUCCCGGGGAGACGCUGAAUCGAGCGCCGGUGAUGAGGCCUGCUCUCGGGGAAGACACGGAGGAUCACGGUGUCAACGCCGCCGACGAGACGAAACAAAACCGAAUAUAGAGAAGCUGCAUCAUGAAGAAGACUGUGGUCUUUGGCAGCGAGGGACAUUAUUCCUGAAGAAGAAAUAACACACGACUGCGGAGCAAGUGACUGGCUUCAGAGAAAGUCUUGAUGUGUGAGUGAUGAAGUUAUGACAGCGGUGGAGAACUGCUCUGGACCUGUCAGAGCUACACAACUUCAGUUUGAGUCCACUAAAUCAUCCUCAGCACAGCACACUAUAUGUGAAGAUGACGGGACACUUCCAGCAGACACAGCGUUCAAAAGAAAGAAAGGAAUCGCGUUGUUAAGGAAGAGCGCAUCCACAACGGAUCCACACUACUAGAACAAAGAAGAUACCAUGGAGCAAACAGGAAAUACAUGCUGAACAAAUUAAUCCAGAACCGGAAACUGGGGGGUGUAUAGAGACUGAACCACUAGCUCUUAAAAAUAGAGAGUGUACAGCUUUUGUUUUACAUUAAAAAUGAUGCCUUGACUGUGAAACCAGGGGCAUAUCUCUGCUCUGCAAAUAAAAAGUUAAUUUAAACACAAACAAUGUUGUUGUGUUUAGGCCACAUGGUUCAAGGGUCUUUAUAAAUUUGUGAAUUCAGUUAUAGUUUAUUAUAUGUUGUCUUGCUUGUUUCAUAUGAUCCUUCUUGAUGUAAUGAUUUGUUAGUAGUUCAACAUGAACUGUAUGGCUGAUUUGAGGUUGAUCUUCAGAGACAAGUAAUUGGUGAGUCUUACUGCAUUUCCAUCCUCAGUUAUUUCAUGUAAAUGAAUGUUUACACAGGCGUUCAAGAGUCACACUGAAGUUGUUUGUUGUACUUAUUGGUGCUAAGUUUUAAGAAACUGUUCAGAAUGUGUCAUGAAGAGUUUAUGAAUUUUAGUUUUUCUUUUUACACAAAUGAGUGUUAUCUUUGAACACAGGCAUGAAAGAGUUUAUGCAAGCGUUAAUUGACUUGCUGACCUACUAAUGUAUUGAGUUUUGAGAAACUAUUUAGAUCACUUGUUUGUCAAAUGUUGAACAUCUGUAUUAAAUAGAACAUGUAGAACACACAAAACUAUAGCAUUUUUUUGUUUGGAGCUCCUAUUCACAGUAUAUUGCAUAAACAGUAUAAACUGCUUUUAAAAAUGCACAUUUAAAAUGUGUUGAGGUCUGUUUACUUCUUUGUGAUAACUUAAUACAAGUGAAAAGUGUGUGAGUCCAGUCCCCACAAUGACCGAAAACUGGUGUCGAGUGUGUGAGUCCAGUCCCCACAAUGACCGAAAACUGGUGUCGUGUGUGUGAGUCCAGUCCCCACAAUGACCGAAAACUGGUGUCGGGUGUGUGUG
This is a long non-coding RNA of Cyprinus carpio (common carp), 1616 nucleotides long. RefSeq lists it as uncharacterized. NCBI's taxonomy places the organism in Eukaryota, Metazoa, Chordata, Actinopteri, Cypriniformes, Cyprinidae. The transcript is spliced from 7 exons. The record is from RefSeq and is a predicted model, not a curated record.